GGGGAUUAGUGGCGAACGGGUGAGUAACACGUGGGCAAUCUGCCCUGCACUCUGGGACAAGCCCUGGAAACGGGGUCUAAUACCGGAUACUCACUGCCUUGGGCAUCCUUGGUGGUGGAAAGCUCCGGCGGUGCAGGAUGAGCCCGCGGCCUAUCAGCUAGUUGGUGAGGUAAUGGCUCACCAAGGCGACGACGGGUAGCCGGCCUGAGAGGGCGACCGGCCACACUGGGACUGAGACACGGCCCAGACUCCUACGGGAGGCAGCAGUGGGGAAUAUUGCACAAUGGGCGAAAGCCUGAUGCAGCGACGCCGCGUGAGGGAUGACGGCCUUCGGGUUGUAAACCUCUUUCAGCAGGGAAGAAGCGAAAGUGACGGUACCUGCAGAAGAAGCGCCGGCUAACUACGUGCCAGCAGCCGCGGUAAUACGUAGGGCGCAAGCGUUGUCCGGAAUUAUUGGGCGUAAAGAGCUCGUAGGCGGCUUGUCACGUCGGUUGUGAAAGCCCGGGGCUUAACCCCGGGUCUGCAGUCGAUACGGGCAGGCUAGAGUUCGGUAGGGGAGAUCGGAAUUCCUGGUGUAGCGGUGAAAUGCGCAGAUAUCAGGAGGAACACCGGUGGCGAAGGCGGAUCUCUGGGCCGAUACUGACGCUGAGGAGCGAAAGCGUGGGGGAGCG
Molecule: ribosomal RNA, 671 nt
Filed under: Streptomyces sp. 289(2010)
Lineage: Bacteria; Bacillati; Actinomycetota; Actinomycetes; Kitasatosporales; Streptomycetaceae
Description: bacterial SSU rRNA
Rfam family: Bacterial small subunit ribosomal RNA
Source: RNAcentral